RNAcentral lists this unclassified non-coding RNA (1350 nucleotides) under Fusarium caeruleum. Its description in RNAcentral is "sequence contains 18S rRNA gene, ITS1, 5.8S rRNA gene, ITS2, 28S rRNA gene". The stretch from base 482 to 1350 matches the Rfam family "Eukaryotic large subunit ribosomal RNA", at positions 1 to 898 of the family's 3401-position model. Lineage: Eukaryota; Fungi; Ascomycota; Sordariomycetes; Hypocreales; Nectriaceae. The record is from RNAcentral.
AUUACCGAGUUUACAACUCCCAAACCCCUGUGAACAUACCUUAUUGUUGCCUCGGCGGAUCAGCCCGCUCCCGGUAAAACGGGACGGCCCGCCAGAGGACCCAAACUCUAUUGUUUUUAGUGUAACUUCUGAGUAAAACAAACAAAUAAAUCAAAACUUUCAACAACGGAUCUCUUGGUUCUGGCAUCGAUGAAGAACGCAGCAAAAUGCGAUAAGUAAUGUGAAUUGCAGAAUUCAGUGAAUCAUCGAAUCUUUGAACGCACAUUGCGCCCGCCAGUAUUCUGGCGGGCAUGCCUGUUCGAGCGUCAUUUCAACCCUCAAACCCCCGGGUUUGGUGUUGGGGAUCGGCGAGUGUCCUUCGCGGACCAGCCGGCCCCGAAAUCUAGUGGCGGUCUCGCUGCAGCUUCCAUUGCGUAGUAGCUAACACCUCGCAAUCGGGACGCGGCGCGGCCAUGCCGUUAAACACCCAACUUCUGAAUGUUGACCUCGGAUCAGGUAGGAAUACCCGCUGAACUUAAGCAUAUCAAUAAGCGGAGGAAAAGAAACCAACAGGGAUUGCCCUAGUAACGGCGAGUGAAGCGGCAACAGCUCAAAUUUGAAAUCUGGCUCUCGGGCCCGAGUUGUAAUUUGUAGAGGAUGCUUUUGAUGCGGUGCCUUCCGAGUUCCCUGGAACGGGACGCCAUAGAGGGUGAGAGCCCCGUCUGGUUGGAUGCCAAAUCUCUGUAAAGCUCCUUCAACGAGUCGAGUAGUUUGGGAAUGCUGCUCUAAAUGGGAGGUAUAUGUCUUCUAAAGCUAAAUAUUGGCCAGAGACCGAUAGCGCACAAGUAGAGUGAUCGAAAGAUGAAAAGCACUUUGAAAAGAGAGUUAAAAAGUACGUGAAAUUGUUGAAAGGGAAGCGUUUAUGACCAGACUUGGACUUGGUUAAUCAUCUGGGGUUCUCCCCAGUGCACUUUUCCAGUUCAGGCCAGCAUCAGUUUUCCCCGGGGGAUAAAGGCAGUGGGAAUGUGGCUCCCUUCGGGGAGUGUUAUAGCCCAUUGUGUAAUACCCUGGGGGAGACUGAGGUUCGCGCAUCUGCAAGGAUGCUGGCGUAAUGGUCAUCAAUGACCCGUCUUGAAACACGGACCAAGGAGUCGUCUUCGUAUGCGAGUGUUCGGGUGUCAAACCCCUACGCGUAAUUAAAGUGAACGCAGGUGAGAGCUUCGGCGCAUCAUCGACCGAUCCUGAUGUUCUCGGAUGGAUUUGAGUAAGAGCAUACGGGGCCGGACCCGAAAGAAGGUGAAACUAUGCCUGUAUAGGGUGAAGCCAGAGGAAACUCUGGUGGAGGCUCGCAGCGGUUUCUGACGUGCAAAU